GGCGUGACGGUGGCGCAAUGGUAGAGCGUCCGACCCACGUACGGAGGCCUUAGUUGUCGAUGCAGCCUGCCGCUGGUUCGAGUCCAGGCCCCUCUCGCCA
This is a non-coding RNA of Crenichthys baileyi (White River springfish), 100 nucleotides long. NCBI's taxonomy places the organism in Eukaryota, Metazoa, Chordata, Actinopteri, Cyprinodontiformes, Goodeidae. The record is from the annotation of a GenBank genome assembly.